Molecule: transfer RNA, 86 nt
Filed under: Candidatus Bathyarchaeota archaeon
Lineage: Archaea; Thermoproteati; Candidatus Bathyarchaeota
Also listed under: 1 other name
Description: tRNA-Leu
Rfam family: tRNA
About the family: Transfer RNA (tRNA) molecules are approximately 80 nucleotides in length. Their secondary structure includes four short double-helical elements and three loops (D, anti-codon, and T loops). Further hydrogen bonds mediate the characteristic L-shaped molecular structure. tRNAs have two regions of fundamental functional importance: the anti-codon, which is responsible for specific mRNA codon recognition, and the 3' end, to which the tRNAs corresponding amino acid is attached (by aminoacyl-tRNA synthetases). tRNAs cope with the degeneracy of the genetic code in two manners: having more than one tRNA (with a specific anti-codon) for a particular amino acid; and 'wobble' base-pairing, i.e. permitting non-standard base-pairing at the 3rd anti-codon position.
Source: RNAcentral
GCGGGGGUUCCCGAGUGGCCAAAGGGGGCAGGCUUAGGACCUGCUGGACAAGUCCUACGUGGGUUCGAAUCCCACCCCCCGCACCA